This 485-nucleotide ribosomal RNA is filed under the name Microbacterium sp. SFA7AKANTET. RNAcentral's name for it is "bacterial SSU rRNA". It matches the Rfam family "Bacterial small subunit ribosomal RNA", at positions 116 to 614 of the family's 1533-position model. Lineage: Bacteria; Bacillati; Actinomycetota; Actinomycetes; Micrococcales; Microbacteriaceae. The record is from RNAcentral.
CGUGAGCAACCUGCCCCUGACUCUGGGAUAAGCGCUGGAAACGGCGUCUAAUACUGGAUAUGUGACGUGACCGCAUGGUCUGCGUUUGGAAAGAUUUUUCGGUUGGGGAUGGGCUCGCGGCCUAUCAGCUUGUUGGUGAGGUAAUGGCUCACCAAGGCGUCGACGGGUAGCCGGCCUGAGAGGGUGACCGGCCACACUGGGACUGAGACACGGCCCAGACUCCUACGGGAGGCAGCAGUGGGGAAUAUUGCACAAUGGGCGAAAGCCUGAUGCAGCAACGCCGCGUGAGGGAUGACGGCCUUCGGGUUGUAAACCUCUUUUAGCAGGGAAGAAGCGAAAGUGACGGUACCUGCAGAAAAAGCGCCGGCUAACUACGUGCCAGCAGCCGCGGUAAUACGUAGGGCGCAAGCGUUAUCCGGAAUUAUUGGGCGUAAAGAGCUCGUAGGCGGUUUGUCGCGUCUGCUGUGAAAUCCCGAGGCUCAACC